Molecule: transfer RNA, 76 nt
Filed under: Candidatus Caldarchaeum subterraneum
Lineage: Archaea; Thermoproteati; Nitrososphaerota; Candidatus Caldarchaeales; Candidatus Caldarchaeaceae
Also listed under: 1 other name
Description: Candidatus Caldiarchaeum subterraneum (hot springs metagenome) tRNA-Met
Rfam family: tRNA
About the family: Transfer RNA (tRNA) molecules are approximately 80 nucleotides in length. Their secondary structure includes four short double-helical elements and three loops (D, anti-codon, and T loops).
Source: RNAcentral
AGCGGGGUAGGGUAGCCAGGUUUAACCCGCCGGGCUCAUAACCCGGAGAUCGGUGGUUCGAGUCCACCCCCCGCUA